Molecule: ribosomal RNA, 482 nt
Filed under: uncultured bacterium
Lineage: Bacteria
Description: partial 16S ribosomal RNA
Rfam family: Bacterial small subunit ribosomal RNA
Source: RNAcentral
AUUGAACGCUGGCGGCAUGCUUUACACAUGCAAGUCGAACGGUAACAGGCCGCAAGGUGCUGACGAGUGGCGAACGGGUGAGUAAUGCAUCGGAACGUGCCCAGUCGUGGGGGAUAACUACUCGAAAGAGUAGCUAAUACCGCAUACGAUCUAUGGAUGAAAGCGGGGGACCGUAAGGCCUCGCGCGAUUGGAGCGGCCGAUGUCAGAUUAGGUAGUUGGUGGGGUAAAGGCUCACCAAGCCAACGAUCUGUAGCUGGUCUGAGAGGACGACCAGCCACACUGGAACUGAGACACGGCCCAGACUCCUACGGGAGGCAGCAGUGGGGAAUGUUGGACAAUGGGCGCAAGCCUGAUCCAGCAAUGCCGCGUGCAGGAAGAAGGCCUUCGGGUUGUAAACUGCUUUUGUACGGAACGAAACGGCUCUGGUUAAUACCCGGGGCUAAUGACGGUACCGUAAGAAUAAGCACCGGCUAACUACGUG